This 402-nucleotide ribosomal RNA is filed under the name Araneidae sp. CVEG61. RNAcentral's name for it is "partial large subunit ribosomal RNA". Lineage: Eukaryota; Metazoa; Arthropoda; Arachnida; Araneae; Araneidae. The record is from RNAcentral.
CAAAAACAUUUCUAUUAAUAUUAUUAAUAGUAAUAUCUGCUCAAUGAAUAAUUAAAUAGCCGCAAUAGUGCUAAGGUAGCAUAAUCAUUUGUCUUUUAAUUGAAGACUAGAACAAAAGAUUUCACAUUUUAAUUAAUUUAUUUAUAAUAAAAAUUUAAAUUAUCAAUAAUGUAAAAAGACAUUUAACAAAAGAAAGACGACAAGACCCUAUUGAACUUAACUUUAGUUAAACUGGGGCAGUUAAUUAAUUAAUAUUUUAAUUAAUAUAAUAUAAAAAAAACCUUUAUUAAUAUAUUAUAAUAAGUUACCAUAGGGAUAACAGCAUAAUUAUUAUUUUAAGAUCUUAUAUAAAUAUAAAAUUAUGACCUCGAUGUUGAAUUAAUAACCUAUAAUACGCAAUAG